UACGGAGGGUGCGAGCGUUGUCCGGAAUCACUGGGCGUAAAGGGCGCGUAGGCGGCCUGAUAAGUAGGGGGUGAAAUCCUGCGGCUUAACCGCAGGGCUGCCUUCUAAACUGGCAGGCUGGAGCACAGUAGAGGCAGGUGGAAUUCCCGGUGUAGCGGUGGAAUGCGUAGAGAUCGGGAAGAACAUCAGUGGCGAAGGCGGCCUGCUGGGCUGUUGCUGACGCUGAGGCGCGACAGCGUGGGGAGCAAACAGG
This 253-nucleotide ribosomal RNA is filed under the name uncultured bacterium. Its description in RNAcentral is "partial 16S ribosomal RNA". It matches the Rfam family "Bacterial small subunit ribosomal RNA", at positions 524 to 776 of the family's 1533-position model. The record is from RNAcentral.